RNAcentral lists this ribosomal RNA (253 nucleotides) under uncultured bacterium. RNAcentral's name for it is "partial 16S ribosomal RNA". It matches the Rfam family "Bacterial small subunit ribosomal RNA", at positions 524 to 776 of the family's 1533-position model. The record is from RNAcentral.
UACGUAGGGGGCGAGCGUUGUCCGGAAUUACUGGGCGUAAAGGGCGUGUAGGCGGCUUAUCAAGUCAGAUGUGAAAAAUCAGGGCUCAACUCUGAUCUUGCAUCUGAAACUGGUAAGCUUGAGUGCAGGAGAGGAAAGUGGAAUUCCCAGUGUAGCGGUGAAAUGCGUAGAUAUUGGGAGGAACACCAGUGGCGAAGGCGACUUUCUGGACUGUAACUGACGCUGAGGCGCGAAAGCUAGGGGAGCAAACAGG